Molecule: unclassified non-coding RNA, 681 nt
Filed under: Hevea brasiliensis (rubber tree)
Lineage: Eukaryota; Viridiplantae; Streptophyta; Magnoliopsida; Malpighiales; Euphorbiaceae
Source: RNAcentral
AUGGCUGUUGGAGGAACAUAAUAUGGAGAGAAGUAGUGAGCAUAUGGGAUAUAAUUUGGAGGAUAAUGAGGCAAAUGCAUCCCUGUAGCUUGUCGAAAUACAGGGAGGGAUUGUUGAGUUACAGCUGCUGAACACUGCAUAAUGCCAGCAGCUUGAGUUGCAAGUGAUGUUGGAGCAUUUCCUCCCUCUUGAGAAGUUUGUGGAGGCACAACUGCAACAUUGCCGUUGUACUUGGUAGAAACUCCCGCUGAAUGAAAAGGUGAAAUGCGGCCAUCACCAUCGACACUGGAGCGAUAGUACUGGGCAUAGUAGCUUGUUGGGUCAAUUGGUUGCUGAACGACAAAGUUUGGAAGACGAGAAACAUCACGAGACUGUGAUUCAGAGAUUUCAAAAGGUGCAAGCUGGCUGCCUAAUGUUGGUGGCACAAAACCAAAACUGUAGUUUGGGGAUGUAUGAACAACUGAAUACUGAUGACCUCCUUGCAGAGUCCCUUGCUUAGAUUCACUGUACUCGGGAAUGGAGGAUGAGACAUCUUCUGUCUUUGCAGACAAAUUCUCCUGCCCACCUGAUGGCGGAGAUUGAUCAGAACAAUCGGCACCCUCUGCAGCUGCUGAUGGAUUUUGAUCACUCGACAACUGAUCAUUUAUUGUUUCUUCGAUAUCCUCAGAAGUUCCAGAGAGU